GAGUUUGAUCCUGGCUCAGAUUGAACGCUGGCGGGAUGCUUUACACAUGCAAGUCGAACGGCAGCAUAGAGAGCUUGCUCUCUGAUGGCGAGUGGCGAACGGGUGAGUAAUAUAUCGGAACGUGCCCAGUAAUGGGGAAUAACUAGCCGAAAGGUUAGCUAAUACCGCAUACGACCUACGGGUGAAAGCAGGGGAUCUUAGGACCUUGCGUUAUUGGAGCGGCCGAUAUCUGAUUAGCUUGUUGGUGGGGUAAAAGCCUACCAAGGCAACGAUCAGUAGCUGGUCUGAGAGGACGAUCAGCCACACUGGAACUGAGACACGGUCCAGACUCCUACGGGAGGCAGCAGUGGGGAAUUUUGGACAAUGGGGGAAACCCUGAUCCAGCCAUCCCGCGUGAGUGAAGAAGGCCUUCGGGUUGUAAAGCUCUUUCGAAAGUGAAGAAAACUUAUUUCGUAAUAUGUUAUGAGUAUGACGGUAACUUUAGAAGAAGCACCGGCUAACUACGUGCCAGCAGCCGCGGUAAUACGUAGGGUGCGAGCGUUAAUCGGAAUUACUGGGCGUAAAGCGUGCGCAGGCGGUUUUGUAAGUCAGAUGUGAAAUCCCCGAGCUUAACUUGGGAACUGCGUUUGAAACUACAAGACUAGAGUGUGUCAGAGGGGGGUAGAAUUCCACGUGUAGCAGUGAAAUGCGUAGAGAUGUGGAGGAAUACCAAUGGCGAAGGCAGCCCCCUGGGAUAACACUGACGCUCAUGCACGAAAGCGUGGGGAGCGAACAGGAUUAGAUACCCUGGUAGUCCACGCCCUAAACGAUGUCAACUAGUUGUUGGUGGAGUAAGAUCCAUGAGUAACGUAGCUAACGCGUGAAGUUGACCGCCUGGGGAGUACGGUCGCAAGAUUAAAACU
RNAcentral lists this ribosomal RNA (902 nucleotides) under uncultured bacterium. Its description in RNAcentral is "bacterial SSU rRNA". It matches the Rfam family "Bacterial small subunit ribosomal RNA", at positions 9 to 901 of the family's 1533-position model. The record is from RNAcentral.